UGCUGGCUGCUCUUCUAUAUUUUCCUAUGUCUCCUAGAGGCAGCGCUCAUGAACACUAAAAUUUCUCAGACACCUAGAUAUCUGGUCAUGGGAAGAGCAAAUAAUAAAUCUUUGAAAUGUGAACAAUAUAUGGGAAAUAAUGCCAUGUACUGGUAUAAACAGAAUGCCGAGAAGCCGCCAGAGCUCAUGUUCUUCUACAAUCUUAAACAACUGAUUCAAAAUGAGACUGUGCCCAGUCGUUUCUUACCUGAAUGUCCAGACACCUCCAAGUUAUUCCUUCACCUGUCUGCCCUGGAGCCAGAAGACUCAGCUCUGUAUUUCUGUGCUAGCAGCCAAGGACAGAAACAGUAUUUCGGUCCCGGCACCAAGCUCACGGUUUUAGAGGACCUGAGCAAGGUGAGCCCACCCAAGGUCACCUUGUUUGAGCCAUCAGAAGCAGAGAUCGUCGACAAACAAAUGGCUACCCUCGUGUGCCUGGCCAGGGGCUUCUACCCUGACCAUGUGGAACUGAGCUGGUGGGUGAACGGGAAGGAGCUGCGCAGUGGAGUCAGCACAGACCCUCAGCCCUACAAGGAGACCAAUAACAUCACCUACUGCCUGAGCAGCCGCCUGAGGGUCUCUGCAACCUUCUGGCACAAUCCUCGCAACCACUUCCGCUGCCAAGUCCAGUUCUAUGGGCUUACAGCUGAAGAUGAGUGGGACAAGGCCUCGCCCAAGCCUGUCGACCAGAACGUCAGUGCAGAGGUCCGGGGCCGAGCAGACUGUGGCAUCACCUCAGCAUCCUAUCACCAGGGGGUUCUGUCUGCUACCAUCCUCUAUGAGAUCCUACUAGGGAAGGCCACCCUGUAUGCUGUGCUCGUCAGCGCCCUGGUGCUGAUGGCCAUGGUCAAGAAAAAAAAUUCCUGAGACCAAGUCUUGUGCAUCCUGGGUUGUUCUCCAUCCUAGUCCCAGAUUCUCCUGCACCUUCUCCAAUCCCUGUUCCUCUGGAGAUAUUCUUUAUUCAAAGCAUCUCUUCUUCCUCCAUGGAUAUCUGUCCUUCCUUGCCACUACCCAAAGACUGACCUCUUGACUCUAAAACAGACUAAAUCAAUAAAUGAUGUUGAGCUGGG
Peromyscus maniculatus bairdii (prairie deer mouse) is the source of this 1109-nucleotide non-coding RNA. NCBI's taxonomy places the organism in Eukaryota, Metazoa, Chordata, Mammalia, Rodentia, Cricetidae. The record is from the annotation of a RefSeq genome assembly.